AAUAAGUGCAGUUUUGCACUAUUUAUUUCCAACGUUUGACCGUUCGUCUUAUUUGAAAAGUUUUUAUGAUUACUAUUUUUAUUGUUAUUAGAUGAUAAAACAUAAAUAGUACUUUACGUGUGACUAAUUUUUUAAAAAAAUUUCAUAAAUUUUUCAAAUAAGACGAACGGUCAAACGUUGGACACGGAUUUCCACGGCUAGACUUAUU
Oryza sativa Japonica Group (Japanese rice) is the source of this 208-nucleotide microRNA precursor. It matches the Rfam family "MIR812 microRNA precursor family". The record is from Rfam. Lineage: Eukaryota; Viridiplantae; Streptophyta; Magnoliopsida; Poales; Poaceae.